AGGACGAACGCUGGCGGCGUGCUUAACACAUGCAAGUCGAGCGGAAAGGCCCUUCGGGGUACUCGAGCGGCGAACGGGUGAGUAACACGUGAGUAACCUGCCCCUAGCUCUGGGAUAGCUCCGGGAAACCGGGAUUAAUACCAGAUACGACCACUUUAGACAUCUGUCGUGGUGGAAAGAAUUUCGGCUAGGGAUGAGCUCGCGGCCUAUCAGCUUGUUGGUGGGGUAAAAGGCCCCACCAAAGGCGACGACGGGUA
RNAcentral lists this ribosomal RNA (257 nucleotides) under uncultured bacterium. RNAcentral describes it as "partial small subunit ribosomal RNA". It matches the Rfam family "Bacterial small subunit ribosomal RNA", at positions 26 to 285 of the family's 1533-position model. The record is from RNAcentral.